Molecule: transfer RNA, 75 nt
Filed under: Sphaerodactylus townsendi
Lineage: Eukaryota; Metazoa; Chordata; Lepidosauria; Squamata; Sphaerodactylidae
Description: tRNA-Ala
Rfam family: tRNA
About the family: Transfer RNA (tRNA) molecules are approximately 80 nucleotides in length. Their secondary structure includes four short double-helical elements and three loops (D, anti-codon, and T loops). Further hydrogen bonds mediate the characteristic L-shaped molecular structure. tRNAs have two regions of fundamental functional importance: the anti-codon, which is responsible for specific mRNA codon recognition, and the 3' end, to which the tRNAs corresponding amino acid is attached (by aminoacyl-tRNA synthetases). tRNAs cope with the degeneracy of the genetic code in two manners: having more than one tRNA (with a specific anti-codon) for a particular amino acid; and 'wobble' base-pairing, i.e. permitting non-standard base-pairing at the 3rd anti-codon position.
Source: RNAcentral
GGAGUGGCUGUGGCUCAGUGGAAGAGCCUCAACUUUGCACGUAGAAGGUCCGAGGUUUAAUUCCUGGCAUCUCCA